UUUUGAAUCCAUGACUCUGAGUACCCUGUCUAGAACCCAGUCGAUGGUUGCGUAGUACGGACUCCCGAGGUGAAUACUUCGUAAGAGUCGGUACGAGAACCUCACCCAGAAUAGAUUCCCUUGAUGGAGUUGACGACCAGAAAGUAUUUCCCGUAAGCGUCAAACAUUCUUGUGAGUUAAUGACUCUGGGGAUCCUUUGUAACAAAGCCCUAGAUCAUACCCGGUGAGAACCCCGUUUUGGAAAAGCA
This 248-nucleotide long non-coding RNA is filed under the name Lathyrus oleraceus (garden pea). Its description in RNAcentral is "Pisum sativum (pea) long non-coding RNA (PSAT_LNC029292)". The record is from RNAcentral. Lineage: Eukaryota; Viridiplantae; Streptophyta; Magnoliopsida; Fabales; Fabaceae.